UGUUGUGUGGUGGUUUGAGUGUUGGACUUGGACUCUAGAGGCCAGGGUUCAAAUCCCAGCUCAGCCA
Phrynosoma platyrhinos (Desert horned lizard) is the source of this 67-nucleotide non-coding RNA. NCBI's taxonomy places the organism in Eukaryota, Metazoa, Chordata, Lepidosauria, Squamata, Phrynosomatidae. The record is from the annotation of a GenBank genome assembly.